RNAcentral lists this ribosomal RNA (468 nucleotides) under uncultured bacterium. Its description in RNAcentral is "partial 16S ribosomal RNA". It matches the Rfam family "Bacterial small subunit ribosomal RNA", at positions 28 to 507 of the family's 1533-position model. The record is from RNAcentral.
GACGAACGCUGGCGGCGUGCUUAACACAUGGAAGUCGAACGGAAAGGCCCUGCUUUUGUGGGGUGCUCGAGUGGCGAACGGGUGAGUAACACGUGAGUAACCUGCCCUUGACUUUGGGAUAACUUCAGGAAACUGGGGCUAAUACCGGAUAGGAGCUCCUGCUGCAUGGUGGGGGUUGGAAAGUUUCGGCGGUUGGGGAUGGACUCGCGGCUUAUCAGCUUGUUGGUGGGGUAGUGGCUUACCAAGGCUUUGACGGGUAGCCGGCCUGAGAGGGUGACCGGCCACAUUGGGACUGAGACACGGCCCAGACUCCUACGGGAGGCAGCAGUGGGGAAUAUUGCACAAUGGGCGGAAGCCUGAUGCAGCAACGCCGCGUGCGGGAUGACGGCCUUCGGGUUGUAAACCGCUUUCGCCAGUGACGAAGCGUGAGUGACGGUAAUGGGUAAAGAAGCACCGGCUAACUACGUG